UACGUAGGGUGCGAGCGUUGUCCGGAAUUAUUGGGCGUAAAGAGCUCGUAGGCGGUGUGUCACGUCGAUCGUGAAAACUUGGGGCUUAACUCUGAGCUUGCGGUCGAUACGGGCAUCACUGGAGUUCGGCAGGGGAGACUGGAAUUCCUGGUGUAGCGGUGAAAUGCGCAGAUAUCAGGAGGAACACCGGUGGCGAAGGCGGCCGACUGGACACAUAUUGACGCUGAGGCUCGAAAGCAUGGGGAGCAAACAGG
Molecule: ribosomal RNA, 254 nt
Filed under: uncultured bacterium
Lineage: Bacteria
Description: partial 16S ribosomal RNA
Rfam family: Bacterial small subunit ribosomal RNA
Source: RNAcentral